UGACAUAAUGUUUUGGCACUUUCUACGUUGACACUUAGGUUUGUUUUCGAUUUCAUUUCGAUAUAUUGAACAACCAUACAUAUAUAUUUUUGGACUAGGAACCUGCUUUCUUGUUAGCCUCCCAGAUUACAGAAAUAUUAUAUAAUUUAUUAGAAAUUAUUACAUGCCAUGAAAAAAUCUCUUGCACUUUAUAUAAUUUAUAAAAUGAUGUUUAAAAACUAAACUAAGCUCUUUUUUAUCAAUAAAUAAUGUGGACAAUAAUAAUCUGCUAACUUAUAAGCGAAUAAUGUAUGUAUAUUUUAUUAUUUUAUGUAAAUAAAAACUCACAGCAAUGACUAGUAUGAUGAAUGAGACAAUUUGAAACUAACUAUAUUAAUAUACAGGCUGUUUUUAUUUCAAUUUUGGCUUUCAAGCACCAAAAUCUCGUGUUAGCUUAGUUUAAAAAAACAACAGCCUGUGUACAUACGACAUAUUUUGAAAUCUAAAUCCGAGUUCCCAAUAAGCAACAUUUGGGGCAACACGAAAGGAGACAAAAGUUCCGUACUGCCUUUCAAUAUGUUGGGCAAUUUGUUGGGCAACAUGUUGCGCGACUAUUGUUGCUUAGUGGAAACGCGGCUUUAAGUUAUGCAUCGGCAAAUAAACAACUAUAGCUAAUGCCUACAAAUAUUUAGAAUGCUUUUUGUCGGUCACAUUAUUUUUAAUAGCAAUUUAGGAUCACAUCCAUUUCUUUACAGCAUUUUAACGAAGCUACGGUGACAUAACUGAUUCAUCAAUCAAACAAUAUUUUAUUUAUAACUGUCAAUUUACUUAAGGUGAAUCUUGAACUUGUAUAUUAUUAUCGCGGCCAAUAAGAUCACGCACGCCUCAUAUCGAAUGUAAACGUAACUACUAACUAAGAUAAAAUAUCAAAAAAACAUUUUAUUUUGAAUUUUCCGCUACAAGUUCACCUUAAAUAACUUAAGAUAUUAUGUCACCCUAACAAUUAUUAUAAAAUAACGGAUACAUUAAAAGUUAUCUUUCCAUAUUAUCCUUCUCACGUUCCCAGUUAGUAAGAGAUGACAAUACUUCUGUGACCGACUUACUUCGAAUCACAAUACCCAAACCAUCCAUUGUUUCCGAUUAAUUAUUGAAAUAGGACAUAAAUUAUAUGAAGCUCAUGUCAAAUUACAAUCUGUAAUCAGAAACAACGGAAUGGAUCGAUUAUUGCAAUCCACACUUAACUA
Molecule: long non-coding RNA, 1223 nt
Organism: Helicoverpa zea (corn earworm)
Lineage: Eukaryota; Metazoa; Arthropoda; Insecta; Lepidoptera; Noctuidae
Exons: 2
Source: RefSeq, a predicted model, not a curated record